Molecule: ribosomal RNA, 450 nt
Filed under: uncultured bacterium
Lineage: Bacteria
Description: partial 16S ribosomal RNA
Rfam family: Bacterial small subunit ribosomal RNA
Source: RNAcentral
GUGGGGAAUAUUGGACAAUGGGCGAAAGCCUGAUCCAGCCAUGCCGCGUGUGUGAAGAAGGUCUUCGGAUUGUAAAGCACUUUAAGUUGGGAGGAAGGGUAGUAACCUAAUACGUUGCUAUUUUGACGUUACCGACAGAAUAAGCACCGGCUAACUUCGUGCCAGCAGCCGCGGUAAUACGAAGGGUGCAAGCGUUAAUCGGAAUUACUGGGCGUAAAGCGCGCGUAGGUGGUUCAGUAAGUUGGAAGUGAAAUCCCCGGGCUCAACCUGGGAACUGCUUUCAAAACUGCUGAGCUAGAGUACGGUAGAGGGUGGUGGAAUUUCCUGUGUAGCGGUGAAAUGCGUAGAUAUAGGAAGGAACACCAGUGGCGAAGGCGACUACCUGGACUGAUACUGACACUGAGGUGCGAAAGCGUGGGGAGCAAACAGGAUUAGAAACCCCGGUAGUCC